RNAcentral lists this ribosomal RNA (473 nucleotides) under uncultured bacterium. RNAcentral's name for it is "partial 16S ribosomal RNA". It matches the Rfam family "Bacterial small subunit ribosomal RNA", at positions 28 to 506 of the family's 1533-position model. The record is from RNAcentral.
GACGAACGCUGGCGGCGUGCUUAACACAUGCAAGUCGAACGGUAAGGCCCUUCGGGGUACACGAGUGGCGAACGGGUGAGUAACACGUGGGUAAUCUGCCCUGCACAUCGGGAUAAGCCUGGGAAACUGGGUCUAAUACCGAAUAGGACCACAGGACACAUGUCCUGUGGUGGAAAGCUUUUGCGGUGUGGGAUGGGCCCGCGGCCUAUCAGCUUGUUGGUGGGGUGAUGGCCUACCAAGGCGACGACGGGUAGCCGGCCUGAGAGGGUGUCCGGCCACACUGGGACUGAGAUACGGCCCAGACUCCUACGGGAGGCAGCAGUGGGGAAUAUUGCACAAUGGGCGAAAGCCUGAUGCAGCGACGCCGCGUGGGGGAUGACGGCCUUCGGGUUGUAAACCUCUUUCACCAUCGACGAAGGUCCGGGUUUUCUCGGGCGGACGGUAGGUGGAGAAGAAGCACCGGCCAACUACGU